Molecule: ribosomal RNA, 248 nt
Filed under: Klebsiella michiganensis
Lineage: Bacteria; Pseudomonadati; Pseudomonadota; Gammaproteobacteria; Enterobacterales; Enterobacteriaceae
Description: partial 23S ribosomal RNA
Rfam family: Bacterial large subunit ribosomal RNA
Source: RNAcentral
AAUCGUACCCCAAACCGACACAGGUGGUCAGGUAGAGAAUACCAAGGCGCUUGAGAGAACUCGGGUGAAGGAACUAGGCAAAAUGGUGCCGUAACUUCGGGAGAAGGCACGCUGAUGGUAGGUGAAGUGACUUGCUCAUGGAGCUGAAAUCAGUCGAAGAUACCAGCUGGCUGCAACUGUUUAUUAAAAACACAGCACUGUGCAAACACGAAAGUGGACGUAUACGGUGUGACGCCUGCCCGGUGCCG